GACGAACGCUGGCGGCGUGCUUAACACAUGCAAGUCGAACGAUGAAGCUAGAGCUUGCUCUGGUGAAUUAGUGGCGAACGGGUGAGUAACACGUGAGUAACCUGCCCCGAACUCUGGGAUAACUGCUGGAAACGGUAGCUAAUACUGGAUACGACCUACGAAGGCAUCUUCUGUAGGUGGAAAGAAUUUCGGUUCGGGAUGGACUCGCGGCCUAUCAGCUUGUUGGUGAGGUAAUGGCUCACCAAGGCGACGACGGGUAGCCGGCCUGAGAGGGUGACCGGCCACACUGGGACUGAGACACGGCCCAGACUCCUACGGGAGGCGGCAGUGGGGAAUAUUGCACAAUGGGCGCAAGCCUGAGGCAGCAACGCCGCGUGAGGGAUGACGGCCUUCGGGUUGUAAACCUCUUUUAGUAGGGAAGAAGCGAAAGUGACGGUACCUGCAGAAAAAGCACCGGCUAACUACGUGCCAGCAGCCGCAGUAA
This 484-nucleotide ribosomal RNA is filed under the name uncultured bacterium. RNAcentral's name for it is "partial 16S ribosomal RNA". It matches the Rfam family "Bacterial small subunit ribosomal RNA", at positions 28 to 523 of the family's 1533-position model. The record is from RNAcentral.